AGCAGCCGCGGUAAYACCAGCUCCACAAGCGUAUAUUAAUGUUGUUGCAGUUAAAAAGCUCGUAGUUGGAUAUCUGUCAUGRUGGACCUGGCCCAGCAGCGCCUCGUGCGUAGCUGUGUGCCGGUAGGGCAUUCGCUUUCGGGUGUUUGCUUGCUCGCUUGACAUCCUUCAGGAGAACCGUUCUGCCUUUUAUUAGGUUGGGGCGAGGAUCCUGAUCAUUUACUUUGAACAAAUUAGAGUGUUUAACGCAGGCUUAUGCCGUGAAUAGAUUAGCAUGGAAUAAUAAGAUAGGACUUCGGCACCGGAUCUUCUGGUUCGAUUUCUAUUUUGUUGGUUUCUAGAGCUGAAGUAAUGAUUGAUAGGGAUAGUUGGGGGUGCUCGUAUUGCUGGGCCAGAGGUGAAAUUCUCGGAUUCUAGUAAGACGAACUUUUGCGAAAGCAUUCACCAAGGAUGUCUUCUUUAAUCAAAGAACGAAAAGUUGGGGGAUCGAAGACGAUCAGAUACCGUCGUAGUCUCAACCAUAAACUAUACCAACUAGGGAUUGGGCGUCGUUGAAUUUAGGACUCGCUUCAGCACCUUUAUUUUUGAGAAAAUCAUAAGUUUUUGGGUUCUGGGGGGAGUAUGGUCGCAAGGCUGAAACUUAAAGGAAUUGACGGAAGGGCACCACCAGGGCGUGGAGCCUGCGGCUUUAAUUUUGGACUUCAACACGGGGAAAAAUCUUUUACCCAGGGUUCCCAGACAUUAGGUGAGGGAUUGACAGAUUGAAGACUUUCUUGAUUCUAUGG
This 785-nucleotide ribosomal RNA is filed under the name uncultured eukaryote. RNAcentral describes it as "bacterial SSU rRNA". It matches the Rfam family "Eukaryotic small subunit ribosomal RNA", at positions 571 to 1284 of the family's 1831-position model. The record is from RNAcentral.